CUGUAGACAAACCAGCCGUCUCGAGCGGGCGGCCUCUGUCAUCUGGCCCCACGCACCGCUGUUCUCAUCCUCCUCCUGUUUUCUCAUCCUCCUCCUCGUCUCAGUCGCUCACCCCAUAUCUUCCUAUCUUUUUCUCCCCCAUCUCUCUGUCAAGCAGAGAACUACUCCCACGCAGCACACUCCCUCAACAUCUGCCGCUGUUUCUAAGGCCCCCCGCAGCUCGAUCCAGAUCGGGAUCGAGGCCACCACCGAGCCGCCUCCCCUCCUCCGUCCUCCACGCGCGCUCUCAGCGCCCGAUCCACCCCUUCCUCGUCCUCGCGCACGUUGCCCUGCUCUCUCCUUCUUCCUCUCAGUUCUUUCUUUUCCUUGGCAGGGAGCACGCAGGGAGCCUGGCAGCCGCUACCACAGCCGGGCGUCCUCGCGUCACCGCCGCCUCCGAGUUCGUCGGCCGCUGGCGCCCGUCCUCCCCUUUAUUUUGUAUUCGCAAGUUUUGCCACCUGACUCAAUUGUAAAUUGGGAUUUUUCAUGCAAGCAUCUGAUGAUUCGGAUUGUAAUCUCCUAUUAUUGGAUUUAUUUGUUCCUUGAAUCCCUCUUUUCACUUGCAGGAUUAAUUUCUUUGUUCUGUCCCAUCCUUUGCAUGUUGACUUGAUGCAGCGAGGCCUCCAAUGUAUAGAAGUCCAUGGCCGAGCCGCUCGCCUCCGUCCCCAUGACGCUCGUGGCCACAACCGACGCGGAUGCACUCUGCACCGCGCUGCUGUCUGCUACAGCAAGCCGCCGCCUCGUUCGACCUCCUGUCGCCGGCCCCGCCCCUCCUUUCUCCCUUGUUUUCUCCCUCACCUCCUUGCCUUCUUUCUGCCCAUGAGCCGCGACUGCCCGACAAGCCGUGCUCCGGCCUUGCUCGUCGUCACCGGCGACCCCGCCUCCGGAUCCGCCUCCCUACGACGGACAACCAGAAACCCUAUUCUC
This 966-nucleotide ribosomal RNA is filed under the name Triticum aestivum (bread wheat). Its description in RNAcentral is "partial small subunit ribosomal RNA". The record is from RNAcentral. Lineage: Eukaryota; Viridiplantae; Streptophyta; Magnoliopsida; Poales; Poaceae.